Molecule: ribosomal RNA, 435 nt
Filed under: Steinernema feltiae
Lineage: Eukaryota; Metazoa; Nematoda; Chromadorea; Rhabditida; Steinernematidae
Description: partial 28S ribosomal RNA
Rfam family: Eukaryotic large subunit ribosomal RNA
Source: RNAcentral
GGAAAGUUGCAAAGUACUUUGAAGAGAGAGUUCAAGAGGACGUGAAACCGAUAGGAUGGAAGCAGAUGAAGUUGACGAACGUGUGUCGUAUUCAAAAUCGCUGUCAGCGGUUUGUUUUUACGGCCGAUGUGGGCCGGCGGCUUUGGUCAAUGCAACGCGUCUAGCGUCGAUGGUGACCCUGCGGAGGGACAAUCAGUCGAUGUACGGUGCUUGGUAUGGCUAAGGUUUCGCCGGUCUUAAAGUCAGCGCCUCAUCUGACCCGUCUUGAAACACGGACCAAGGAGUGUAGCGUUUGCGCAAGUCUUAGAGUGUAUCGAAACUUUGAGGCGUAACGAAAGUAAAUGCAGUUUAAUCUGCUGACUUGGGAUGCGUUGUCUCUUGUGGACGGCGCUGGACCAAGGUUUUAUCGCGAUCGCUUGCGGUGCGGUGAAAAUA